GUUAAGCGACUAAGCGUACACGGUGGAUGCCCUGGCAGUCAGAGGCGAUGAAGGGCGUGCUAAUCUGCGAUAAGCGCCGGUAAGGUGAUAUGAACCGUUAUAACCGGCGAUACCCGAAUGGGGAAACCCAGUGUGACUCGUCACACUAUCAUUAACUGAAUCCAUAGGUUAAUGAGGCGAACCGGGGGAACUGAAACAUCUAAGUACCCCGAGGAAAAGAAAUCAACCGAGAUUCCCCCAGUAGCGGCGAGCGAACGGGGAGGAGCCCAGAGCCUGAAUCAGCAUGUGUGUUAGUGGAAGCGUCUGGAAAGGCGCGCGAUACAGGGUGACAGCCCCGUACACAAAAGCGCAUGUGCUGUGAGCUCGAUGAGUAGGGCGGGACACGUGGUAUCCUGUCUGAAUAUGGGGGGACCAUCCUCCAAGGCUAAAUACUCCUGACUGACCGAUAGUGAACCAGUACCGUGAGGGAAAGGCGAAAAGAACCCCGGCGAGGGGAGUGAAAAAGAACCUGAAACCGUGUACGUACAAGCAGUGGGAGCCCCACCACCAAAGCAUUCUCUGGUGUUGAAGGCCCUGCAAAGCAGCAUCGCGGUGGCGGAGCGUCGUUUGCGACGCCCAACACACAAAACAAGCGGUGAGUGCUUUGGGGUGGGGUGACUGCGUACCUUUUGUAUAAUGGGUCAGCGACUUAUAUUCUGUAGCAAGGUUAACCGAAUAGGGGAGCCGGAGGGAAACCGAGUCUUAAUUGGGCGUUAAGUUGCAGGGUAUAGACCCGAAACCCGGUGAUCUAGCCAUGGGCAGGUUGAAGGUUGGGUAACACUAACUGGAGGACCGAACCGACUAAUGUUGAAAAAUUAGCGGAUGACCUGUGGCUGGGGGUGAAAGGCCAAUCAAACCGGGAGAUAGCUGGUUCUCCCCGAAAGCUAUUUAGGUAGCGCCUCGUGAAUUCAUCUCCGGGGGUAGAGCACUGUUUCGGCUAGGGGGCCAUCCCGGCUUACCAACCCGAUGCAAACUGCGAAUACCGGAGAAUGUUAUCACGGGAGACACACGGCGGGUGCUAACGUCCGUCGUGAAGAGGGAAACAACCCAGACCGCCAGCUAAGGUCCCAAAGUCAUGGUUAAGUGGGAAACGAUGUGGGAAGGCCCAGACAGCCAGGAUGUUGGCUUAGAAGCAGCCAUCAUUUAAAGAAAGCGUAAUAGCUCACUGGUCGAGUCGGCCUGCGCGGAAGAUGUAACGGGGCUAAACCAUGCAC
Molecule: ribosomal RNA, 1253 nt
Filed under: Salmonella enterica subsp. enterica serovar Virchow
Lineage: Bacteria; Pseudomonadati; Pseudomonadota; Gammaproteobacteria; Enterobacterales; Enterobacteriaceae
Description: partial 23S ribosomal RNA
Rfam family: Bacterial large subunit ribosomal RNA
Source: RNAcentral